GGCGCGGUAGCCAAGUGGUAAGGCCGAGGUCUGCAAAACCUCUAUGCGUCGGUUCAAUUCCGACCCGCGCCUCCA
This 75-nucleotide transfer RNA is filed under the name Verrucomicrobia bacterium ADurb.Bin122. RNAcentral's name for it is "tRNA-Cys". It matches the Rfam family "tRNA". Rfam says of the family: Transfer RNA (tRNA) molecules are approximately 80 nucleotides in length. Their secondary structure includes four short double-helical elements and three loops (D, anti-codon, and T loops). Further hydrogen bonds mediate the characteristic L-shaped molecular structure. tRNAs have two regions of fundamental functional importance: the anti-codon, which is responsible for specific mRNA codon recognition, and the 3' end, to which the tRNAs corresponding amino acid is attached (by aminoacyl-tRNA synthetases). tRNAs cope with the degeneracy of the genetic code in two manners: having more than one tRNA (with a specific anti-codon) for a particular amino acid; and 'wobble' base-pairing, i.e. permitting non-standard base-pairing at the 3rd anti-codon position. Lineage: Bacteria; Pseudomonadati; Verrucomicrobiota. RNAcentral also lists the same sequence under 6 other names. The record is from RNAcentral.